RNAcentral lists this ribosomal RNA (445 nucleotides) under uncultured bacterium. RNAcentral describes it as "partial 16S ribosomal RNA". It matches the Rfam family "Bacterial small subunit ribosomal RNA", at positions 354 to 796 of the family's 1533-position model. The record is from RNAcentral.
GUGAGGAAUAUUGGUCAAUGGGCGAGAGCCUGAACCGGCCAAGUCGCGUGAAGGAAGAAGGAUCUAUGGUUCGUAAACUUCUUUUGCAGGGGAAUAAAGUGCGGGACGUGUCCUGUUUUGUAUGUACCCUGAGAAUAAGGAUCGGCUAACUCCGUGCCAGCAGCCGCGGUAAUACGGAGGAUCCGAGCGUUAUCCGGAUUUAUUGGGUUUAAAGGGUGCGUAGGUGGUUUGAUAAGUCAGCGGUGAAAGUUUGCAGCUUAACUGUAAAAAUGCCGUUGAAACUGUCGGACUUGAGUGUAAAUGAGGUAGGCGGAAUGCGUGGUGUAGCGGUGAAAUGCAUAGAUAUCACGCAGAACUCCGAUUGCGAAGGCAGCUUACUAAGCUACAACUGACACUGAAGCACGAAAGCGUGGGGAUCAAACAGGAUUAGAUACCCGAGUAGUCC